UUGGGAAGCCUGACCUGUCGCACACCCCCAUCGUGGCCCAGCCCACACCAAAGCUUACCCUCAGGGUCUCCAAUUCCUUGCGAGCCUGGCUUAGCUGCUUCUCCAGUUCAGCGAUCUUGGCCAUGGAGUCGUUCUCUGUGUCCCGAAGCCGCUCUGUCAGCUGUGGUACCAGCACAUGGCCCAGACCUCCAGCCUGAGCCAGCUCCCCCCUCUGUCCAGUAUCUCUGAGUUCCCCAUCACCGGCUGAGAUCGGAGCAUCCGACGGGACUGAUGCUCCUGUGUCAAGACCCAGAACCACCUGAGCCUGUUCCAGGACUUCGGUGACAGAUGUUAUAGUAUCCGUCAUGUACCAGGGGCUCCUCUACACAUCUGGAGUCAUUGUCACCUCUGUGAUUGACAGGCAGACAGACUCAGAAGGAUGAACAGAUGCAUACAAGGCUGCGCAGCUACCAAGUGACAGAGCCUCGCAAGUGACAUGACUGCCGGUAUGUGUCACCAAGCCCAGCUUUCAGAGCCGAUGCUCGAACUCAAGACCUGCUAACUACAUACUAAAUACCCCACAGUGAGUAGGCUGUUCAGUCAGGGAUGGGGUACAAGGCUCACCUCCAAGUACAGGUCCAGACCCAGGUAUCUGAGUGCUUUGCUUGCAUGUAUGUAUAGGCAAGCGACCUGGUACCUGCGGAGGUCAGAAAAAUGUUAUCAGAUCCCCCGGCGCUGGAGUUAUGGAUAGCUGUCAAUUGCCAUGUGGAUGCUGGAAUCAAUCCAGGGUCCUCCGCAAGGUCAAGUGCCCUUAACCACUGAGCCAUCUCUCCAGCCCCUUGGAUUUUCGUUGUCGUGAUUGUUGUCAUUGUUUUUACCACUAUGUAGCCAUGCCUACAUGGUGUUCAUCAGGAUCCACCUGCCUCUGCCCCUGGAGUGCUGGAAUUAAAGGUGUGUGCUACUGUG
Long non-coding RNA from Mus musculus (house mouse), 945 nucleotides. RefSeq lists it as uncharacterized. NCBI's taxonomy places the organism in Eukaryota, Metazoa, Chordata, Mammalia, Rodentia, Muridae. The transcript has 4 exons. The record is from RefSeq and is marked validated.